RNAcentral lists this unclassified non-coding RNA (218 nucleotides) under Hevea brasiliensis (rubber tree). Lineage: Eukaryota; Viridiplantae; Streptophyta; Magnoliopsida; Malpighiales; Euphorbiaceae. The record is from RNAcentral.
GCACAAGCCUGGCAUGGACACUCGAGCAGCCGUGGAACUACUGCUGAAUUCGACGCCCACCGCCACAAUUUCAAGAAUAAGCCAUCAAGAUUCAAGCUUGAAGCUAUGAACAAGGCAACCUCCAGAGAAUAUGAUGGAACAAUUAGUAGAUGGGAUUUCAGCCAGUCUCUUUGGGAUUCUUAUGAGAUACUCAAUGUGUCCAAAAAGUUAGAAACUGG